AAUAGAUACCCUGGUAGUCCACGCCGUAAACGUUGGGCGCUAGAUGUGGGGACCUUUCCACGGUUUCCGUGUCGUAGCUAACGCAUUAAGCGCCCCGCCUGGGGAGUACGGCCGCAAGGCUAAAACUCAAAGGAAUUGACGGGGGCCCGCACAAGCGGCGGAGCAUGCGGAUUAAUUCGAUGCAACGCGAAGAACCUUACCAAGGCUUGACAUAACCGAGAACACCGUAGAAAUACGGGACUCUUUGGACACUCGGUUACAGGUGGUGCAUGGUUGUCGUCAGCUCGUGUCGUGAGAUGUUGGGUUAAGUCCCGCAACGAGCGCAACCCUCGUCGCAUGUUGCCAGCACGUCAUGGUGGGAACUCAUGUGAGACUGCCGGGGUCAACUCGGAGGAAGGUGGGGAUGACGUCAAAUCAUCAUGCCCCUUAUGUCUUGGGCUUCACGCAUGCUACAAUGGCCGGUACAAAGGGCUGCGAUGUCGUAAGGCGGAGCGAAUCCCAAAAAGCCGGUCUCAGUUCGGGUUGAGGUCUGCAACUCGA
Molecule: ribosomal RNA, 540 nt
Filed under: uncultured bacterium
Lineage: Bacteria
Description: bacterial SSU rRNA
Rfam family: Bacterial small subunit ribosomal RNA
Source: RNAcentral